UUUCCGGUUGAUCCUGCCGGACCUUACUGCUAUCGGGGUGGGACUAAGACAUGCGAGUCAAGCGUCUCUAGCUAUGUUGAGACGCGGCAUACGGCUCAGUAACACGUGGCUAACCUACCCUCAGGACAGGGACAACCCCGGGAAACUGGGGCUAAUACCUGAUAGGUGAGGAUGCCUGGAAUGGUUUUCUCACUCAAAGGGCUUUGGGAACAUGCUUCCAUUGUCGCCUGGGGGUGGGGCCGCGACCGAUCAGGUUGUUGGUUGAGGUAACGGCUCACCAAGCCUUUAACCGGUACGGGCCGUGAGAGCGGUAGCCCGGAGAUGGGUACUGAGACAAGGACCCAGGCCCUUCGGGGCGCAGCAGUCGCGAAAACUUCSCAAUGCAUGAAAGUGUGACGGGGCUACCCCGAGUGCCGUCCGCUGAGGAUGGCUUUUCCGGGGUUUAACUAGCCAGGGGAAUAAGGAGAGGGCAAGACUGGUGUCAGCCGCCGCGGUAAUACCAGCUCUCCGAUGGAAGGGUAUGAUUAUUGAGCUUAUAGCGCCCGUAGCCGGCUUAGCAAGUCUCGUGUUAAAUUCAGCGACCUAAUCGUUGAGCCGCGGGAGAUACUACUAGGCUAGGAGGCGGGAGAGGUCGACGGUACUUCUGGGGUAGGGGUGAAAUCCUAUAAUCCCGGGAGGACCACCAGUGGCGAAGGCUGUUGACUAGAACGCGCUCGACGGUGAGGGACGAAAGCUGGGGGAGCAAACCGGAUUAGAUACCCGGGUAGUCCCAGCUGUAAACGAUGCGGGCUAGGUGUUGGGGUGGCUACGUGCCACUUCAGUGCCGCAGGGAAACCAUUAAGCCCGCCGCCUGGGGAGUACGGCCGCAAGGCUGAAA
RNAcentral lists this ribosomal RNA (877 nucleotides) under uncultured archaeon. RNAcentral's name for it is "bacterial SSU rRNA". It matches the Rfam family "Archaeal small subunit ribosomal RNA", at positions 1 to 854 of the family's 1478-position model. The record is from RNAcentral.